Molecule: ribosomal RNA, 438 nt
Filed under: Triticum aestivum (bread wheat)
Lineage: Eukaryota; Viridiplantae; Streptophyta; Magnoliopsida; Poales; Poaceae
Description: partial small subunit ribosomal RNA
Source: RNAcentral
AUGCGGCGACAAUGGCAAACAAGAAGACAUCAACGUACGCCACCACCAUCGCCGGUUUGCAGGGUCCCGCUAACCGCUUUGAAGGCCUUCAGUUUGACACGGAGAAGUCCUGGGCAUGGGUUCGAGAUGAUGCAUGACGUGGUGGCGAGGGCCACAAUGGCCAGGGAGCAAGCUGAUGGCAUCAAAAUGGUAUGCCGGGAAGCUUUCAGUUUGGAUCUUGUUGGAGAUUCUCCAUGUAGCCUUCUUGGUUCUGAAUCCAAAGUGCAUGGUAAUCCUGAAGAGCUUGACUCCUUGAAUCAGAGGAAACCAAGGUUAGCAUUAGUCCCCACAAUAACUUGGCUUGCAUGCAGUAAUAUUUUGGGAGUGGAGAAAGAGAGCAAGAAUUCCACAAUACAUACGAUCAAUUGGAGGGCUUCUAACCGUUUUUACUUUAGCUAA